GACGAACGCUGGCGGCGUGCUUCAUACAUGCAAGUCGAACGAUAAGGUCUCUUCGGAGAUACAUAAGUGGCGGACGGGUGAGUAAAAUGUAGAGAAUCUGCCCUAGAGAGUGGGACAACAGAUGGAAACAUCUGCUAAUACCGCAUAUGCGCGUAGCUGAGAUGCUAUUCGUGAAAACUCCGGUGCUCUGGGAUGAGUCUGCAUCUGAUUAGCUAGUUGGGGGUGUAAUGGACCACCAAGGCGACGAUCAGUAGCUGGUUUGAGAGGAUGAUCAGCCACAAUGGGACUGAGACACGGCCCAUACUCC
Molecule: ribosomal RNA, 307 nt
Filed under: uncultured cyanobacterium
Lineage: Bacteria; Bacillati; Cyanobacteriota
Description: bacterial SSU rRNA
Rfam family: Bacterial small subunit ribosomal RNA
Source: RNAcentral